RNAcentral lists this ribosomal RNA (491 nucleotides) under uncultured bacterium. RNAcentral's name for it is "partial 16S ribosomal RNA". It matches the Rfam family "Bacterial small subunit ribosomal RNA", at positions 29 to 506 of the family's 1533-position model. The record is from RNAcentral.
AGUGAACGCUGGCGGUAGGCCUAACACAUGCAAGUCGAACGGCAGCACAGUAAGAGCUUGCUCUUACGGGUGGCGCGUGGCGGACGGGUGAGGAAUACAUCGGAAUCUACUUUUUCGUGGGGGAUAACGUAGGGAAACUUACGCUAAUACCGCAUACGACCUACGGGUGAAAGCAGGGGAUCUUCGGACCUUGCGCGAUUGAAUGAGCCGAUGUCGGAUUAGCUAGUUGGCGGGGUAAAGGCCCACCAAGGCGACGAUCCGUAGCUGGUCUGAGAGGAUGAUGAGCCACACGGGAACUGAGACACGGUCCAGACUCCGACGGGAGGCAGAAGAGGGGAAUAUUGGACAAUGGGCGCAAGCUUGAGCCAGCCAUACCGCGGAGGUGAAGAAGGCCUGCGAGUUGUAAAGCCCUUUUGUUGGGAAAAAAAAGCAGCAGGUUAAUACCCCGCUGUUCUGACGGAACCAAAAGAAUAAGCACCGGCAAACUUCGU